This 1561-nucleotide ribosomal RNA is filed under the name Legionella pneumophila. Its description in RNAcentral is "partial 23S ribosomal RNA". It matches the Rfam family "Bacterial large subunit ribosomal RNA", at positions 1382 to 2925 of the family's 2925-position model. The record is from RNAcentral. Lineage: Bacteria; Pseudomonadati; Pseudomonadota; Gammaproteobacteria; Legionellales; Legionellaceae.
AGUCGGCCCCUAAGGCGAGGCUGAAGAGCGUAGUCGAUGGGAACCAGGUUAAUAUUCCUGGACUUUUUAUAAGUGGUGAAGUGGGGACGAAGAAGGCUAGGUGAGCCAGGCGUUGGUUGUCCUGGUACUUGCAUGUAGGGGGGAAGACUUGGCAAAUCCGGUUUUCCAUAACUCUGAGGUGCGAAGUGGUUCUGACCUUUUGGUACAGAGAAGUCAUUGAUGCCCGGCUUCCAGGAAAAGCUGCUAGCCAUAACUUAUAGAGAACCGUACCGCAAACCGACACAGGUGGACAGGUAGAGAAUACUAAGGCGCUUGAGAGAACUCGGGUGAAGGAACUAGGCAAAAUGGUACCGUAACUUCGGGAGAAGGUACGCCCUUUCUGGUGAUGGGAUUUACUUUCAGAGCUGGAGAGGGCCGCAGAGACCAGGUGGCUGCGACUGUUUAUUAAAAACACAGCACUCUGCAAAUUCGUAAGAAGACGUAUAGGGUGUGACGCCUGCCCGGUGCCGGAAGGUUAAUUGAUGGGGUUAUCUUCGGAGAAGCUCUUGAUCGAAGCCCCGGUAAACGGCGGCCGUAACUAUAACGGUCCUAAGGUAGCGAAAUUCCUUGUCGGGUAAGUUCCGACCUGCACGAAUGGCGUAACGAUGGCCACACUGUCUCCACCCGAGACUCAGUGAAAUUGAAAUCGCUGUGAAGAUGCAGUGUACCCGCGGCUAGACGGAAAGACCCCGUGAACCUUUACUAUAGUUUUGCACUGGACUUUGAUGAUGACUGUGUAGGAUAGGUGGGAGGCUGUGAAGUGAGGACGCUAGUUCUCAUGGAGCCGCCCUUGAAAUACCACCCUGUUGUUAUUGAGGUUCUAACUUGGUCCAGUAAUCCUGGAUGAGGACAGUGUAUGAUGGGUAGUUUGACUGGGGCGGUCUCCUCCCAAAGAGUAACGGAGGAGCACAAAGGUACCCUCGGUACGGUCGGACAUCGUACCAAGAGUGUAAAGGCAAAAGGGUGCUUGACUGCGAGAGUGACGGCUCGAGCAGGAACGAAAGUUGGUCUUAGUGAUCCGGUGGUUCUGAAUGGAAGGGCCAUCGCUCAACGGAUAAAAGGUACUCCGGGGAUAACAGGCUGAUACCGCCCAAGAGUUCAUAUCGACGGCGGUGUUUGGCACCUCGAUGUCGGCUCAUCACAUCCUGGGGCUGAAGCAGGUCCCAAGGGUAUGGCUGUUCGCCAUUUAAAGUGGUACGCGAGCUGGGUUUAGAACGUCGUGAGACAGUUCGGUCCCUAUCUGCCGUGGGCGUAGGAAAAUUGAGAGGAGCUGCUCCUAGUACGAGAGGACCGGAGUGGACGAACCUCUGGUGCACCGGUUGUCACGCCAGUGGCAUGGCCGGGUAGCUAAGUUCGGACGGGAUAACCGCUGAAAGCAUCUAAGCGGGAAGCCUCCCUCAAGAUGAGUUUUCCCAUGAAGCCCGUUGAAGACUACGACGUUGAUAGGCAAGGUGUGGAAGCGCAGUAAUGCGUGAAGCUAACUUGUACUAAUUGGCUGAUUGUCUUGACCAUAUAAUCUGAG